GUCGCGCGAGAAAAGGGGGCAACUCCUGAGUAAAGCGGCGCACGGGUGAGUAACACGUAGGUGACCUACCCUCGAGUCCAGAAUAACCCGCCGAAAGGUGGGCUAAUGCCGGAUAUGACCACGGGACCCUCGGUUCCUGCGGUGAAAGGUGGCCUCUGCUUGCAAGCUAUCGCUCAAGGAUGGGCCUGCGCGCCAUUAGCUAGUUGGUGAGGUAACGGCUCACCAAGGCAAUGAUGGCUAGCUGGUCUGAGAGGAUGACCAGCCACACUGGGACUGAAACACGGCCCAGACUCCUACGGGAGGCAGCAGUGGGGAUAUUGCGCAAUGGGCGAAAGCCUGACGCAGCGACGCCGCGUGGGUGAUGAAGGCCUUCGGGUCGUAAAGCCCUGUCGAGGGGAACGAAACGGCUCCGACCUAAUACGUCGGGGCCCUGACGGUACCCCUAAAGGAAGCACCGGCUAACUCCGUGCCAGCAGCCGCGGUAA
Molecule: ribosomal RNA, 485 nt
Filed under: uncultured delta proteobacterium
Lineage: Bacteria; Deltaproteobacteria
Description: bacterial SSU rRNA
Rfam family: Bacterial small subunit ribosomal RNA
Source: RNAcentral